AUUCGAGACCUUCUGGGUGGGAAGGAGGCAGCCAUGUGGUGAUCUGGGGAAGAGUGCUGCAAGCAGAAAGGCAAGUAAAAACAAAAGCCCUGAGGCAGAAAUGUGCUCCUUAUGCUUAAGAAACACCGUGAAGGCCAACGUGGUUGGAGCAAUGUGAGCAAGAAGAAUAGAGGGGCCUUGGGAACAUAGGUAGCUGAGUCCUCAUGGAUCAAGGGAGAGGAACAAUUAUUACUUGCUGAGAGGAGCUAAGCUGAUCUGCAUGAUGAAGGAAUGGAAUGGGCUAAGGAAGACGUCCAGACAGGGAAAAGCCUUAUGGAAGGGAAUUCAACAGAGUUUUCAGAGAUUAGCACAUUUGAGGCUCUCUAAAUAAUCAGAUGUGGAGGAAGGGGCUUCUGAGAUGAGCUAACACGACUAUGACCCAGAGUCUUUUAAUGUUCUUCCAAAUACGUGAUCAAAUAAUGGAAUUUAUUCUGUAUUAAUUUUGAGCACUAAACUGUGCAUUAAGUCUAUAGAGGGAUUGGACCCUAUGGUCUCCCCUCUGAUUUACAAGAAUUAUGUUUUUAAAAGAUGGGGUCAUACUAUAUUUACUUUUACUUAUAAAACAUUUUAAAAUUUUAAUUUUAAAUUAAUUAAUUUAUUUUUGACACAGAGUCUCGCUCUGUUGCCCAGGCUGGAGUACAGUGGCUCGAUCUGAGCUCACUGCAACCUCCGCCUCCUGGGUUCAAGUGAUUCUCCUGCCUCAGCCUCCCAAGUAGCUGGGACUACAGGCCCAUGCCACCAUGCCCAGCUAAUUUUUCUAUUUUUAGUAGAGACAGGGUUUCACCAUGUUGGUCAAGCUGGUCUCGAACUCCUGACCUCAUGUGAUCCACCCACUUUGGCCUCCCAAAGUGCUGGGAUUACAGGCGUGAGCCACCCCCCGGCCUUUCAAAAAAAUUUUUAAUUCACCACUAUACUAAUGAGGAUAUAUUUGGUACUUACAUGAUCUUUUUUUUUAAAAAAAAAAACAAUUAAAUCUUAUGGUCAAUAAAUGCAGAAAUGAAUUAUCCUUUGAAACAGCUGCAUGGUUGGCCUUCAUUUGUCUUCAUCAUAAUUUAUUUAACCCCCACUUACCGAUUUUUGUCAUUGUUGUUGUUUGUUUGUUUUAAAUAGAGUCUCACUCUGUUUCCUAGGCUAGAGUGGAGUGGUGUAGCCUCAAACCCCUGGACU
RNAcentral lists this long non-coding RNA (1206 nucleotides) under Homo sapiens (human). Its description in RNAcentral is "non-protein coding lnc-SERTAD2-3:9". Lineage: Eukaryota; Metazoa; Chordata; Mammalia; Primates; Hominidae. The record is from RNAcentral.